Molecule: unclassified non-coding RNA, 335 nt
Filed under: uncultured fungus
Lineage: Eukaryota; Fungi
Description: partial contains 5.8S ribosomal RNA and internal transcribed spacer 2
Rfam family: 5.8S ribosomal RNA (bases 1-133)
Source: RNAcentral
UGGCUCUCGCAUCGAUGAAGAACGCAGCGAAUUGCGAUAAGUAAUGUGAAUUGCAGAAUUCAGUGAAUCACCGAAUCUUUGAACGCAUCUUGCACUCUCCGGUAUUCCGGAGAGUAUGCCUGUUCGAGUGUCGUGAAGUCCUCAAGACGCAAGUCUUGGAGUUGGAGCCUGUCGGCGCGAGUCGACUGCUCUGAAAUGUAUUAGCCAUGGUGAACACGAUCGGCUUGAGUGUAAUAAAUCUUUUAUAUGCACGACGGUCUGAGAGUACACACCGGGCUCACAAAACCCCUUACUUUUUCACCUUUGACCUCGAAUCAGGUAGGAUUACCCGCUGA